CGUCCCUGCCUUCGCGCUUGUAGAACGCAGCUGCAAAAUAUUUAUGUUUUCUGAUAAAAAAAAAAAAAGAGGACUCAGAUUAAGAAGUGUUUUGGGUGCAAAGAAACUCUUCUGCCCUGAGCUGUGGUGUCUCUUCGUCUCUGGCUUGGCUGCGGUCGCUGUACCCCGGCGUUAGGACGUGGGUGCUGGUUCCCCACCAGUUUCCCUGGAUUUUUUCAGUCUACAUCUCCCUUUCAUGAUAGAGAGAGGGAGGGUUUGGCCGUGGGGCCGUGCAAGGAGCCUUUUGUGUGAGCGAGGCACCAGCUGCCGCCAGGAAAGCCCUCUCCUGCUGGUGGCGGUGGUGUGGCAGACCCCUCCGACAGCCGCCUUCGCUCGCGUGUCCGAAAGGAAAGCUGGGAGGAGAGAUUUCCUCCUGUCCUGCGGGAUGUGCUGGCUUACGGCGCUUUGAAACCCCAAGCUUGGGUUUUAAGGCUGGGAAAUAUGUGGUUAAGAGAGGAUGGUAGCCAUGUGGGAUGGGGCAGGCGGGGAGUUCAGCAUCUCUUAAUCCGGUUUCUCUGGGCCCCUGGAAGCCCCCGCGUGGGAUGUCCCACAGCUUUGGUUACGGGGCUUUUUUUUUCCGGUUGCUGCCAGCAAGGCGCGGGCAAAACGCUCCCACCGUCCUGGGUUCAAGCGGUGAGAAGGAUUUCUGGACCCGGCUUGGGUUUUUUGGGGCUCGCGGGGCUGCCUUUGGCUGUUGGCCACGGAGCUGGCUGGCGCGGGGAGUGGCGGGGGGGGCUUCCUCACCGCUGCCUCUGGGCCGGGCUGUAUUCCCUAGCUCUGGUUUUUCACCUCCAUCUCCAAACAGGUUUAUUCAGGAACGUUUCCCCAGAGCAUCGCCUUGCUCCGUGGUACCCGGUGCAUUUCACGCCCGCAAAAGCGGGGAGCGAGCGGUUCCCCGAGGUCCCACCUGGCCAGGGGACGUUCCUCCUCCAGCCCCCUCGGUUUGCCCUGGGGUGUGGAUUUGGCACCUUGGGUCCUCCCAAGACUUUGCUUAGGACAGAAAGUCUCCCUGCAAACCUCUUCCUAUAACUCGGCUGCCUUUUAGUACCCAGAAGCAGUCCCAGUAGCCAGCCCAGCAGCCGGCCAGUCUCACAGACCUACGCUUGUGACACCUUGGUUGUGGUCUGUCUCUCGAUUUUUAUUUUAUUCAUUGAUUAAAUUCAGCUAUUUUGCUCUUCUCCGUUAAUCUGAACCCGAACUGUGCCCUGGCUGGGCAGAAAGCCAUUUUUUCCCCUCGCGUACUGGCGUACCACUGGCUUCCUUCCAGCCCUGUGCAAUUUUUCCCUUUGCUCAAGGGAGCGCAGGGCUCGGUAAUUAUGUUUGCACGUCGGCGUGUGAGAUCCGGGGCCCUUUUAUCCAAACCUUUUGGUAAGCGCUUUUUAAAACCAUUAAAGCUUUGGUUUGUUCGUUCCCACCCGCUACAAAUUUUGCUGGAUUUCUCUGGGGCGGGCAAGGAGGGGAGGUUUUCCUCUGCUCUUCAUACAGGGGUGUUGGCAAACUUUGCACCCCCACCCCCCCUCCCCGGCUCCGGUACGGAACAAAAUUUUGCUGGAACUUCUGCGUCGCUGCUAACGUAACAACACCCCGUCGGGGGAACCGGGCGGUUUCAGACGUGUGUCCGUCGUGAUUCCUGAUUUUCACCUGCUGUGCCCCGUUUGCUUCCCUGUGACGUAUGAACUGCGAUGGCUUCCUUAAAAAAAAAAAAAAGAAAAAAAGAGAAAAAAAAAGAAAAAGGAGAAACUCUAGCGCGGGGGGGUUGCGUUAGCCCAGAGACCGGCCGGCUGACCCGUGAGCUGCGGGCAAGCAGCGGGGACAGGCUGGUGGCCAUCACUGCCGGCAACUGCCCCUUGUCACUGGCGCCCAUCGGCAAAGGCAGGAACCCGCUUUCCGGCACCACAGGCAGCGUGCUCCUGGGGCCGAGGUGGCGCUGCCGGAGCUCAGAGGUCUCCGUAGGGAUGUCGGCAAGCUCCCAGCUCGCGGCAGAGAAAGCCCUGGCCCCGUUGGGGCAAUGAAGCGCAACAAGACAAGAAGUGGACCUGGCCUUGCGGACCGCUCCCAGCCAGCCCAGCAUCCUGUAUCCCGGUAGCGGAGCUCGGGAUGACACAGUCCAUCCUCUCUGCUCCUCCUUCGGAAGAGCCGCAGGUCGGGCAGAAAAGAGCUGGGGACCAGGGACUGUCACAGGGUCCGGGCACCAGUUCUGUGCUGCAGCGUCUUCCAGGGAGCAGGAAAAGUGCUGCCACGACGAAAUGUAUUCCUUGUCUUUCCUUUGGUUUAAACUCUGGCCCCUGGCUCCCUCUGUCCCCUCCCACAAGCCCAGGAUUUCUGCCUCCGCUAGUCGCGUUUGGGAUUGCCACGUCGGAUGUCUGGGCUCUAUUCCCAUCCCACUGAGCUGCCCUAAGGGGUGGGAGUUGGUUAAAAUCAUCCCCAAAACCCGGCUCGUUUGUGCCACCUUAGCUCUGCUUGCCGUGAAGCUGUGGCCUUCCCUGCCUGUCGCAGCUCCAGACGGGGCUGGUGGCAGGAGCUGCCACCAAAAGUCAUCUCCCCACCAGGAGUGCCUCACCCCCCACCCCAACCCCCGCCACGGGAGCUCGCGUCAUGAUGAUCCUGCUGGAAACUAAACCUGGUUAGAGCAUAAAACCAGUUCUGGUCCGGAUCAGUCCCCUGCCGCGGUUUGGCCCAGGUCCCCCAGGUCCGUGGCUGGACGUGGGAGAGGGCAGCGAAGGGGCAGCCCGUCUUUAUCUUGACUUGCUUCCUGGGGCAAAAAUAGAGCUUGAGGAGACACGCACAGGUCAGAAACGAGCCGGCAAGUCUUUUCGCGGAGUUGGAGGGAUUCUCUUUCCCACUGGUGUAUUUUAAUCCAGGGAAGCAUUUGCACUGUAAGUAUUUUGAUACUGUUCGUUUUGCCUGGUGGUCGAAUCCGUUAAGUUGCGCUUCUGGCUUCCGUCAGCAGCUUCGCACAACAAUAAAUCCGGGUUAAAGCAAA
Chroicocephalus ridibundus (black-headed gull) is the source of this 3022-nucleotide long non-coding RNA. RefSeq lists it as uncharacterized. NCBI's taxonomy places the organism in Eukaryota, Metazoa, Chordata, Aves, Charadriiformes, Laridae. The transcript has 3 exons. The record is from RefSeq and is a predicted model, not a curated record.